This 1553-nucleotide ribosomal RNA is filed under the name marine metagenome. RNAcentral describes it as "bacterial LSU rRNA". It matches the Rfam family "Bacterial large subunit ribosomal RNA", at positions 1390 to 2925 of the family's 2925-position model. The record is from RNAcentral.
CCUAAGGCGAGGGCGAAAGCCGUAGUCGAUGGGAAACAGGUUAAUAUUCCUGUACCACCACGUGAUGCGAUGGAGGGACGGAGUAGGCUAGGUGAUCAGGGCGUUGGUUGUCCCUGUUCAAGGAUGUAGGCAGAGAGCUUAGGAAAAUCCGGGCUCUUAAUGCUGAGAUCUGAUGUCGAGUUUCUACGGAAACGAAGUCAUUGAUGCCAUGCUUCCAAGAAAAGCUUCUAAGCUUCAGUCACGUGGGAUCGUACCCGAAACCGACACAGGUGGUCAGGUCGAGAAGACCAAAGCGCUUGAGAGAACUUGGGUGAAGGAACUAGGCAAAAUGGCACCGUAACUUCGGGAGAAGGUGCGCCGGUGACGGUGAUGGACCUUGCGUCCUAAGCUGUUGCCGGUCGAAGUAACCAGGCCGCUGCGACUGUUUAUUAAAAACACAGCACUCUGCAAACUCGUAAGAGGACGUAUAGGGUGUGACGCCUGCCCGGUGCCGGAAGGUUAAUUGAUGGGGUUAGCGUAUGCGAAGCUCUUGAUCGAAGCCCCGGUAAACGGCGGCCGUAACUAUAACGGUCCUAAGGUAGCGAAAUUCCUUGUCGGGUAAGUUCCGACCUGCACGAAUGGCGUAACGAUGGCGGCGCUGUCUCCACCCAAGACUCAGUGAAAUUGAAAUCGCUGUUAAGAUGCAGUGUAUCCGCGGCUAGACGGAAAGACCCCGUGAACCUUUACUACAGCUUCACAGUGGACUUUGAAUAUGCUUGUGUAGGAUAGCUGGGAGACUUUGAAACCGGGACGCUAGUUUCGGUGGAGUCAACCUUGAAAUACCAGCCUGGCAUGUUUGAGGUUCUAACCUAGACCCGUGAAUCCGGGUCAGGGACAUUGUGUGGUGGGUAGUUUGACUGGGGCGGUCUCCUCCCAAAGAGUAACGGAGGAGCACGAAGGUGGGCUCAGCGCGGUCGGAAAUCGCGCAUUGAGUGUAAAGGCACAAGCCCGCUUGACUGCGAGACUGACAAGUCGAGCAGGUACGAAAGUAGGUCUUAGUGAUCCGGUGGUUCUGUAUGGAAGGGCCAUCGCUCAACGGAUAAAAGGUACUCCGGGGAUAACAGGCUGAUACCGCCCAAGAGUUCACAUCGACGGCGGUGUUUGGCACCUCGAUGUCGGCUCAUCACAUCCUGGGGCUGAAGCAGGUCCCAAGGGUAUGGCUGUUCGCCAUUUAAAGUGGUACGCGAGCUGGGUUUAGAACGUCGUGAGACAGUUCGGUCCCUAUCUGCCGUGGGCGUAUGAGAUUUGAGAGGAGCUGCUCUUAGUACGAGAGGACCGGAGUGGACGAACCUCUGGUGUUCCGGUUGUCACGCCAGUGGCAUUGCCGGGUAGCUAUGUUCGGAAAGGAUAACCGCUGAAAGCAUAUAAGCGGGAAGCCUCUCCCAAGAUUAAAUCUCCCAGAGACUUUAUGUCUCCUAAAGAGUCGUCAUAGACUAUGACGUUGAUAGGCAAGAUGUGUAAGCGUUGUGAGGCGUUGAGCUAACUUGUACUAAUAACUCGUGAGGCUUGAUCAU